Long non-coding RNA from Syngnathus typhle (broad-nosed pipefish), 864 nucleotides. RefSeq lists it as uncharacterized. NCBI's taxonomy places the organism in Eukaryota, Metazoa, Chordata, Actinopteri, Syngnathiformes, Syngnathidae. The transcript is spliced from 4 exons. The record is from RefSeq and is a predicted model, not a curated record.
CUCCUCUGUCUGUCCUCUUUGAUCUCCGUCCCUCCCAUCCAGUCCCAUCCCAUCAUGGCGUGGCGUCCCGGGGGAGGAGGCGCCCGCCGGCGGAAGCCAAAGAGGGGAUGAGGACAGUGCAGCAACUCAGGAAGGGCCUGCCUGGAGGAAGGCAAUCUGCCACCGCCUCACUUAUUGAGAUCUGUCUGGGACGGAGUCGCCGUCUCGUCCGGCACGUCUUCAUCUAUUUGUUGUCUCGCGAGCGUGCCGUCAAGCGGCGAUGGCCUAGCUGCCCGCCGCAGCCAAUACAGCCACCCGGAGAACUGACGCCGCUGUCAUAUUACAAUGGAAGGCCUCCACAGAGGAAUCAUUUGCAUUCGCCGCGUGCAAACUCAUCUCCCAUUUUGCACCCAACUUUCACACUUGAGGCGAUGAUGGCGAAAAGAGUCGCAGGAGCACGGCGAGCCAGAGUGUUGCCCUUCCCCUGUGGCGCUGAACGAGGCCCAGCGCGUCUUGAUUAUGCAGGCCGCAAAACAAACUGACUCGGCUGCAAAAGGAGCGACGACUACUGGAGGGGAGCAAAAAGCGCCUGAAAGUACAGCGCUGCAAAUGACUGGAUGAUUAGAAAGAAUGUCUUUCUUUACCUACGGUGAACAUCAAAUGGAUUCAACUAAUUAAGUCGUGAUGGCAAUUGUUGGUAAAGAGUCGCUUUGCUUUGCUUUGCUUUGCUUUGCUUUGCUUCCCCUCGUCUCUUUUUAUUACAGUCGUCUCGGUUCACCACCUUCACUCUACUCUUGCGUAAUUCUCACAAGUUCAAUGAGAACAUUUGCAUUGGUUUUUUUUCCCUGUUUGGACUUUCCACCUGCCGAGCGAGCGAGCGCGCGC